AUGAACGCUGACAGAAUGCUUAACACAUGCCAGUCUUUGGCGAAGCUGUGCUUGCACAGCCUAGCCAAGGCGGACGGGUGAGUAACGCGUAAGGAACUUGCCCUGCAGUCAGGGAUAACAGACGGAAACGACUGAUAAGACCUGGUAAAGUCAGGCGGACUCAUGUCCAGCCUGAUGAAAAGAGAUGCUGCAGGAGAGCCUUGCGUCCUAUUAGCUUGUUGGUGGGGUAACGGCCCACCAAGGCGAUGAUAGGUAGCCGGCCUGAGAGGGUGGACGGCCACAAGGGGACUGAGAUACGGCCCUUACUCCUACGGGAGGCAGCAGUGGGGAAUAUUGGACAAUGGGGGCAACCCUGAUCCAGCAAUUCUGUGUGCACGAUGAAGGUUUUCGGAUUGUAAAGUGCUUUCAGCAGGGAAGAAAAAAUGACGGUACCUGCAGAAGAAGCGGCGGCUAAAUACGUG
Molecule: ribosomal RNA, 461 nt
Filed under: uncultured bacterium
Lineage: Bacteria
Description: partial 16S ribosomal RNA
Rfam family: Bacterial small subunit ribosomal RNA
Source: RNAcentral